This 282-nucleotide ribosomal RNA is filed under the name Veillonella dispar. RNAcentral's name for it is "partial 16S ribosomal RNA". It matches the Rfam family "Bacterial small subunit ribosomal RNA", at positions 494 to 776 of the family's 1533-position model. Lineage: Bacteria; Bacillati; Bacillota; Negativicutes; Veillonellales; Veillonellaceae. The record is from RNAcentral.
UAUGUCAUUGUGUGCCAGCAGCCGCUGUCAUACGUAGGUGGCAAGCGUUGUCCGGAAUUAUUGGGCGUCAAGCGCGCGCAGGCGGAUUGGUCAGUCUGUCUUAAAAGUUCGGGGCUUAACCCCGUGAUGGGAUGGAAACUGCCAAUCUAGAGUAUCGGAGAGGAAAGUGGAAUUCCUAGUGUAGCGGUGAAAUGCGUAGAUAUUAGGAAGAACACCAGUGGCGAAGGCGACUUUCUGGACGAAAACUGACGCUGAGGCGCGAAAGCCAGGGGAGCGAACGGG